CGUAGGUCCCCGAGCGUUGUCCGGAUUUAUUGGGCGUAAAAGCGAGCGCAGGCGGUUUAAUUAAGUCUGAAGUUAAAAGGACAGUGGCUUAAACCAUUGUUCGCUUUGGGAACUGUUAGACUUGAGUGCAGAAGGGGAGAGUGGAAUUCCAUGUGUAGCGGUGAAAUGCGUAGAUAUAUGGAGGAACACCGGUGGCGAAAGCGGCUCUCUGGUCUGUAACUGACGCUGAGGCUCGAAAAGCGUGGGGAGGCAAACAAGGAGUU
RNAcentral lists this ribosomal RNA (263 nucleotides) under uncultured bacterium. RNAcentral's name for it is "partial 16S ribosomal RNA". It matches the Rfam family "Bacterial small subunit ribosomal RNA", at positions 526 to 780 of the family's 1533-position model. The record is from RNAcentral.